CCUACGGGAGGCAGCAGUGGGGAAUAUUGCACAAUGGGGGAAACCCUGAUGCAGCAACGCCGCGUGAAGGAAGACGGUUUUCGGAUUGUAAACUUCUGUUCUUAGUGAAGAAUAAUGACGGUAGCUAAGGAGCAAGCCACGGCUAACUACGGGCCAGCAGCCGCGGUAAUACGUAGGUGGCAAGCGUUGUCCGGAAUUACUGUGUGUAAAGGGAGCGCAGGCGGGAAGCCAAGUCAGCUGUGAAAACUACGGGCUUAACUUGUAGACUGCAGUUGAAACUGGUUUUCUUUAGUGAUGUAGAGGUUGGCGGAAUUCCGAGUGUAGCGGUGAAAUGCGUAGAUAUUCGGAGGAACAUCGGUGGCGAAGGCGGCCAACUGGGCUUUAACUGACGCUGAGGCACGAAAGCGUGGGUAUCGAACAGGAUUAGAUACCCGAGUAGUC
This 441-nucleotide ribosomal RNA is filed under the name uncultured bacterium. RNAcentral describes it as "partial 16S ribosomal RNA". It matches the Rfam family "Bacterial small subunit ribosomal RNA", at positions 338 to 795 of the family's 1533-position model. The record is from RNAcentral.